Molecule: transfer RNA, 77 nt
Filed under: archaeon
Lineage: Archaea
Description: tRNA-Ile
Rfam family: tRNA
About the family: Transfer RNA (tRNA) molecules are approximately 80 nucleotides in length.
Source: RNAcentral
GCGCGCGUAGCUCAGUUGGUUAGAGCGCCAAGCUUAUACCUUGGUGGUCCCAGGUUCGAGUCCUGGCGCGCGCACCA